CCUUAUGAGAUUAAUGAGCUAGUAACCUGAGAUUUACUGCAAAUGUUCACCUUCCUACUACUCUGUGCCACAGUGUCAAAUGGAGAUAUUAUUCUCACCCAGUCUCCAGAAUCUUUGGCCAUAUCUCAAGGGGAAAAGGUCACCAUCACCUGCAGUGCCAGCUCAAGUAUAAGCUCCAAUUACUUGCACUGGUACCAACAAAAACCAGGAGCCUCACCUAACCUCAUGGUUUAUAGUUCAUCCUACCGAGCCUCUGGAGUACCAAGUCGCUUCAGUGGCAGUGGGUCGGGAACCUCUUACUCCUUCGAAAUCAGCAGCAUUGAGCCUGAAGAUGCUGCCACUUACUACUGUAUUCAGGGGAGUGGUAGACCACUCACACAGUGCUACAGACUGGAACAAAAAACCUUUACCUCCCUAGGGCAAAGCUACUUCCUACUAGACACGAAAUGUGGGCCAAGGGUACAAGUAACAUGGGGAAGAAGCUCCAAGAUUUUCUUUAGGGUAGUCAAGAGAACCCAGUUGUCCACAAAAUGA
Mesocricetus auratus (golden hamster) is the source of this 534-nucleotide non-coding RNA. Lineage: Eukaryota; Metazoa; Chordata; Mammalia; Rodentia; Cricetidae. The record is from the annotation of a RefSeq genome assembly.